RNAcentral lists this ribosomal RNA (481 nucleotides) under uncultured bacterium. RNAcentral's name for it is "bacterial SSU rRNA". It matches the Rfam family "Bacterial small subunit ribosomal RNA", at positions 28 to 507 of the family's 1533-position model. The record is from RNAcentral.
GACGAACGCUGGCGGCGUGCCUAACACAUGCAAGUCGAACGGACGAGAUUUCUUCGGAGAUCGAGUUAGUGGCGAACGGGUGAGUAACGCGUAGGCAACCUGCCCUUUGGAUGGGGACAACAUUCCGAAAGGAGUGCUAAUACCGAAUGUGACGAUUUUACCGCAUGGUUUAAUCGUGAAAGAUGGCCUCUACAUGUAAGCUAUCGCCAAAGGAUGGGCCUGCGUCUGAUUAGCUAGUUGGUGGGGUAACGGCUCACCAAGGCGACGAUCAGUAGCCGGUCUGAGAGGAUGAACGGCCACAUUGGGACUGAGACACGGCCCAGACUCCUACGGGAGGCAGCAGUGGGGGAUAUUGCACAAUGGGCGAAAGCCUGAUGCAGCAACGCCGCGUGAGGGAUGACGGUUUUCGGAUUGUAAACCUCUGUCUUUGGUGACGAAAACAAUGACGGUAGCCAAGGAGAAGCCAACGGCUAACUACGUG